This 1099-nucleotide long non-coding RNA is filed under the name Equus asinus (donkey). Its description in RNAcentral is "lncRNA (ENSEASG00005036822.1)". Lineage: Eukaryota; Metazoa; Chordata; Mammalia; Perissodactyla; Equidae. The record is from RNAcentral.
GAAAUGUCUAAAACUGCAAUGAAAGGCUCAGAUGUGUUUUAAUAAGAUCUACCCAGGAGCCCCAGCACAUAGCUGUGUAUCCUACUUGUAAGCCAUUCUAGUUCUUCAGUGAGGGAUGCUGCCACAGCAUGGCUUGAUGAGAGGUGCCAUGUCCCCGCCCAGGAUCCGAACCAGCAAACCCUAGGCCACCAAAGCGGAGCGCGCGAACUCAACCAUGCGGCCACCGGGCGGCCCCAUAGAGAGCUGGAACAGCUCUGGCCCCGGGUCAGUGCGCUUGAGCGAAUGAGGGCGAGCCAUCAGCAUCUGCGUAGUUCCUGAGGCCGAGCGCAAGGCAGCACAGCUCUGCCCGGCCUGGCGACGGGCGACCCAACCCGAUGGCACAGCCCGUGCCGCCGAAACGCAGGACACGUGAAACAUAUUCAGUCUGAGCAAGAUGCAGGCUGCUCUGUGGAGACUCUGCCACCAGCCCCCUCUUGAGACGGAGGUUGAGGAGGGCAACUGGGUAGACGUGUGCCUCACCUGGACAGAAAAUGGGAGAUAAGCAGGUAACAGGUAUGGCGUAUUAACCAGGUGCCAGCAUGCCGCUAAGCUUGUCGCCUGAAUUCCCUGGUUAAGUCCUCCCACGACCCCGGGCUGGGUGCUGGUCCUAUCAUCGUUUCAAGGUGAAGGAACCGAGGCCCAUAUGGGUUGAGUGGGUUGCCCAUAAUCAUUCAAUUAACCGUCUCUCCUGCACGUCCCAUUUCACGGGGCUUGCGGUGAGGCCCCUAAACCUGCCUUUAUAAAGAGCACCUGUGGCUGCUUUUGGCCUGAGGCAGGUUGGGAAACGCCGCACUUUCUGGAAAAGUGUGGACUCAUUUUGGAAGGCGAUUCUGCUGUUCUGAGGGCUGUCCCCCACUUGCCUGCUGCAGCCCCUCAGAAGCCCUGGGGCCACUCCUGCCCCUCAGACAGGCUCCCCUCGGGCGGCCCGCAUCGCCUGGACGCUCCGGUGGAAAGCGAGCGGGUGGCAUGUGCUGGGCGUUGGUCGCAGUUCAUUUUCCUCCCUUGCAGAAGCCCCGUUUGUCUCCCACCGCGUCUGUUUGUGCUGGUUCUUAAGUUCUGA